ACUCCUACGGGAGGCAGCAGUGGGGAAUAUUGCACAAUGGGCGCAAGCCUGAUGCAGCGACGCCGCGUGAGGGAUGACGGCCUUCGGGUUGUAAACCUCUUUCAGUACCGACGAAGCGUAAGUGACGGUAGGUACAGAAGAAGCACCGGCCAACUACGUGCCAGCAGCCGCGGUAAUACGUAGGGUGCGAGCGUUGUCCGGAAUUACUGGGCGUAAAGAGCUCGUAGGUGGUUUGUCGCGUUGUUCGUGAAAACUCACAGCUUAACUGUGGGCGUGCGGGCGAUACGGGCAGACUGGAGUACUGCAGGGGAGACUGGAAUUCCUGGUGUAGCGGUGGAAUGCGCAGAUAUCAGGAGGAACACCGGUGGCGAAGGCGGGUCUCUGGGCAGUAACUGACGCUGAGGAGCGAAAGCGUGGGGAGCGAACAGGAUUAGAUACCCUGGUAGUCCACGCCGUAAACGGUGGGUACUAGGUGUGGGUUUCCUUCCUUGGGAUCCGUGCCGUAGCUAACGCAUUAAGUACCCCGCCUGGGGAGUACGGCCGCAAGGCUAAAACUCAAAGAAAUUGACGGGGGCCCGCACAAGCGGCGGAGCAUGUGGAUUAAUUCGAUGCAACGCGAAGAACCUUACCUGGGUUUGACAUGCACAGGACGACUGCAGAGAUGUGGUUUCCCUUGUGGCCUGUGUGCAGGUGGUGCAUGGCUGUCGUCAGCUCGUGUCGUGAGAUGUUGGGUUAAGUCCCGCAACGAGCGCAACCCUUGUCUCAUGUUGCCAGCGCGUUAUGGCGGGGACUCGUGAGAGACUGCCGGGGUCAACUCGGA
RNAcentral lists this ribosomal RNA (820 nucleotides) under uncultured Actinomycetes bacterium. RNAcentral describes it as "bacterial SSU rRNA". It matches the Rfam family "Bacterial small subunit ribosomal RNA", at positions 335 to 1167 of the family's 1533-position model. The record is from RNAcentral. Lineage: Bacteria; Bacillati; Actinomycetota; Actinomycetes.